This is a long non-coding RNA of Raphanus sativus (radish), 859 nucleotides long. RefSeq lists it as uncharacterized. The transcript is spliced from 3 exons. Lineage: Eukaryota; Viridiplantae; Streptophyta; Magnoliopsida; Brassicales; Brassicaceae. The record is from RefSeq and is a predicted model, not a curated record.
AUCCACUUUCAGUUUUUUUUCUCUCCGUAAAAUCCAUAGUUAUCAAAGAUUCUUACAUAUAUUCUAGUACAAUCCAGACAAUAAUCCAGAUUAAUCAAAGAAUCUCAGCUUCAUAUCACUCAAAUCCCUCGGAUUUCACCGUAGAUUCCAGAAGAUAAUCUAGAAUUAUCGUAGAAUCUCAUCCUCCCAUCCCUCAAAUCCGUCGGAUUUCACGGUACAUUCCAGAGUCAUCGUCUGAACACUACACCGAUCAUCUUCCUCGUUCCACCGUUCUGGUUGCAUAUCGUUCGAUUUCAAUGGAGUUAGGAACCCGAUAAGAUUCUCGCUAAGAGAGUUUGCCAUCGUAACAGGGCUGCCGUGUGGUAAAUACCGGAUCCCUCCGCCGAAAGAUAUGAAGAAACCCGCCGGUGAAGAUGACGAUUUCUCACACACACCACCGAGAAACGGUAUCAAGCCAGCACAUGCAAGGACGUUGGACACCGCAUAAAAUGUACGUGUGACUCAAAUCAUCCCGAAUGAAACAUAUUUCGAGAUCGACGAAGCAGAGCUGUGUUUCUCUGACGACGAAGAUGGCGAAAGAGUAGAUAAAAUGCUCAGUCUAAUCAAAGAGGGCAGCAGUUUCAGGAACGAAAUGUUCGAAGGGGAGCACCAAAGGAAGACGUAGCGCCCAUGCGUGACGUCUCAGAAGAGGCUGUAGCUCUAGCAAGAAAUAUGUAUACAUCAUAAAUUAGCCUUUACAGAUCUAGGUUAUCUGUACAUUUAUGAAAGUUUAAAACAUAACAUAUCUAGAGCAUAUAAAAUACUCAUCAUACUGUUUCAGGAUUUAGCCGCACAUUAAUAUAAUUAGCCAUAUAUUUUA